GAUGAACGCUGGCGGCGUGCCUAAUACAUGUAAGUCGAGCGAAUGGAUUAAGAGCUUGCUCUUAUGAAGUUAGCGGCGGACGGGUGGGUAACACGUGGGUAACCUGCCCAUAAGACUGGGAUAACUCCGGGAAACCGGGGCUAAUACCGGAUAAUAUUUUGAACUGCAUGGUUCAAAAUUGAAAGGCGGCUUCGGCUGUCACUUAUGGAUGUACCCGCGUCGCAUUAGCAAGUUGGUGAGGUAACGGCUCACCAAGGAAACGAUGCGUAGCCGACCUGAGAGGGUGAUCGGCCACACUGGGACUGAGACACGGCCCAGACUCCUACGGGAGGCAGCAGUAGGGAGUCUUCCGCAAUGGACGAAAGUCUGACGGAGCAACGCCGCGUGAGUGAUGAAGGCUUCCGGGUCGUAAAACUCUGUUGUUAGGGAAGAACAAGUGCUAGUUGAAUAAGCUGGCACCUUGACGGUACCUAACCAGAAAGCCACGGCUAACUACGUGCCAGCCGCCGCCGUAA
RNAcentral lists this ribosomal RNA (515 nucleotides) under uncultured bacterium. RNAcentral's name for it is "partial 16S ribosomal RNA". It matches the Rfam family "Bacterial small subunit ribosomal RNA", at positions 28 to 523 of the family's 1533-position model. The record is from RNAcentral.